GGAUCCAGACUUUGAUUCUGGCUCAGGAUGAACGCUAGCUACAGGCUUAACACAUGCAAGUCGAGGGGAAACGACAUCGAAAGCUUGCUUUUGAUGGGCGUCGACCGGCGCACGGGUGAGUAACGCGUAUCCAACCUGCCCACCACUUGGGGAUAACCUUGCGAAAGUAAGACUAAUACCCAAUGAUAUCUCUAGAAGACAUCUGAAAGAGAUUAAAGAUUUAUCGGUGAUGGAUUGGGAUGCGUCUGAUUAGCUUGUUGGCGGGGUAACGGCCCACCAAGGUAACGAUCAGUAGGGGUUCUGAGAGGAAGGUCCCCCACAUUGGAACUGAGACACGGUCCAAACUCCUACGGGAGGCAGCAGUGAGGAAUAUUGGUCAAUGGGCGAGAGCCUGAACCAGCCAAGUAGCGUGCAGGAUGACGGCCCUAUGGGUUGUAAACUGCUUUUAUAAGGGAAUAAAGUGAGUCUCGUGAGACUUUUUGCAUGUACCUUAUGAAUAAGGACCGGCUAAUUCCGUGCCAGCAGCCGCGGUAAUACGGAAGGUCCGGGCGUUAUCCGGAUUUAUUGGGUUUAAAGGGAGCGUAGGCCGGAGAUUAAGCGUGUUGUGAAAUGUAGACGCUCAACGUCUGCACUGCAGCGCGAACUGGUUUCCUUGAGUACGCACAAAGUGGGCGGAAUUCGUGGUGUAGCGGUGAAAUGCUUAGAUAUCACGAAGAACUCCGAUUGCGAAGGCAGCUCACUGGAGCGCAACUGACGCUGAAGCUCGAAAGUGCGGGUAUCGAACAGGAUUAGGUACCCUGGUAGUCCGCACGGUAAACGAUGGAUGCCCGCUGUUGGUCUGAAUAGGUCAGCGGCCAAGCGAAAGCAUUAAGCAUCCCACCUGGGGAGUACGCCGGCAACGGUGCAACUCAAAGGAAUUGACGG
RNAcentral lists this ribosomal RNA (924 nucleotides) under uncultured Bacteroidota bacterium. RNAcentral's name for it is "bacterial SSU rRNA". It matches the Rfam family "Bacterial small subunit ribosomal RNA", at positions 1 to 916 of the family's 1533-position model. The record is from RNAcentral. Lineage: Bacteria; Pseudomonadati; Bacteroidota.